RNAcentral lists this ribosomal RNA (393 nucleotides) under agricultural soil bacterium SI-16. RNAcentral's name for it is "bacterial SSU rRNA". It matches the Rfam family "Bacterial small subunit ribosomal RNA", at positions 9 to 430 of the family's 1533-position model. The record is from RNAcentral.
GAGUUUGAUCAUGGCUCAGAACGAACGCUGGCGGCAUGCCUAACACAUGCAAGUCGAACGAGACCUUCGGGUCUAGUGGCGCACGGGUGCGUAACGCGUGGGAAUCUGCCCUUGGGUUCGGGAUAACAGUUGGAAACGACUGCUAAUACCGGAUGAUGUCUUCGGACCAAAGAUUUAUCGCCCAAGGAUGAGCCCGCGUAGGAUUAGCUUGUUGGUGAGGUAAAAGCUCACCAAGGCGACGAUCCUUAGCUGGUCUGAGAGGAUGAUCAGCCACACUGGGACUGAGACACGGCCCAGACUCCUACGGGAGGCAGCAGUGGGGAAUAUUGGACAAUGGGCGAAAGCCUGAUCCAGCAAUGCCGCGUGAGUGAUGAAGGCCUUAGGGUUGUAAAG